Antechinus flavipes (yellow-footed antechinus) is the source of this 1417-nucleotide long non-coding RNA. RefSeq lists it as uncharacterized. Lineage: Eukaryota; Metazoa; Chordata; Mammalia; Dasyuromorphia; Dasyuridae. The transcript has 3 exons. The record is from RefSeq and is a predicted model, not a curated record.
GCAAAGUCAUCCCCCAGCCCAAAACAGUUGUUUGUCAAGGUCAAUAACAAAGUCCCCCCAGUCCAAAAUGUUAUUUGUCAAGGUCACUAACAAAGUCAUCCCCUCCCAGCCCCAAACAGUUAUUUGUCAAGGUCACUAACAAAGUCCCUCCCAGCCCAAAAUGUUUAUUUGUCAAGAUCACUAACAAUGUCCCCCCACUUCAAAAUAAGUAUUUGUCAAGGUCACUAAUAAAGUCCCCCUAGCCCCAAACAGUUGUUUUUCAAGGUCAAUAGCAAAAUCAUCUCCAAUCCAAAACAGUUAUUUAUCAAGGUCACUAGCAAAGUCACCCCCAGCCCAAAACAGUUGUUUGUCAAGGUCAAUAACAAAGUCCCCCCCAGUCCAAAAUGUUAUUUGUCAAGGUCACUAACAAAGUCAUCCCCUCCCAGCCCCAAACAGUUGUUUUUCAAGGUCACUAACAAAGUUCCCCCCAGCCCAAAACAGUUGUUUGUCAAGGUCACUAACAAAGUCCCCUCCCCCCAGCCCAAAAUAGUUAUUUGUCAAGGUCACUAACAAAGUCCCUCCCAGCCCAAAAUGUUUAUUUGUCAAGGUCACUAACAAUGUCCCCCCAGUUCAAAAUAAGUAUUUGUCAAGGUCACUAAUAAAGUCCCCCUAGCCCCAAACAGUUGUUUUUCAAGGUCAAUAGCAAAAUCAUCUCCAAUCCAAAACAGUUAUUUAUCAAGGUCACUAGCAAAGUCACCCCCAGCCCAAAACAGUUGUUUGUCAAGGUCGAUAACAAAGUCCCCCCAGUCCAAAAUGUUAUUUGUCAAGGUCACUAACAAUGUCCCCCCAGUUCAAAAUAAGUAUUUGUCAAGGUCACUAAUAAAGUCCUCCCAGCCCAAAACAGUUGUUUGUCAAGGUCAAUAACAAAGUCCCCCCCAGUCCAAAAUGUUUAUUUGUCAAGGUCACUAACAAAGUCGUUCCCCCCCAGCCCCAAACAGUUGUUUUUCAAGGUCACUAACAAAAUCCCCCCAGUCCAAAACAAGUAUUUGUCAAGGUCAAUAGCAAAGUCCCCCCCAGCCCGAAAUGAUUAUUUGUCCAGGUCACAGGCCAUGCAGGCUGGGCGGGCCAGAGGGCACCUCAGAAUGCUGCCGGCCAGUCCGGGGCUCCUGCUACCAUCAUGCUUCACUUUGGGAAGUGAAAGGGUUUCAUUGCUGAUGUUUCGGGAUUCGGAGGCACGAGAGGGUCCCGGGGAAAGGGCUCGGGGAGCCAGCUUGGCUGCGGCCCCCUCUCCUUCCUCUCCAAUCUCAGGGACCCGCCCCUUUGGAAGGAUGGCUCUGCUGCUGGCCAGUGGGCACCCUCUGGUGGAAGAAAUGCUGAACGUCUCCCCAUCCCCGCCUUCCAUCCCGUUCCCCCCUCCCUCAGUCUCCCUCUCCCCAUU